AACGAACGCUGGCGGCAGGCCUAACACAUGCGAGUCGAGCGAGCAUUUCGGUGCUAGCGGCGGACGGGUGAGUAACGCGUGGGAACGUGCCUUUUCUGCGGAAUAGUCCUGGGAAACUGGGGGUAAUACCGCAUACGCCCUUUUGGGGAAAGAUUUAUCGGAGAAGGAUCGGCCCGCGUUGGAUUAGGUAGUUGGUGGGGUAAUGGCCCACCAAGCCGACGAUCCAUAGCUGGUUUGAGAGGAUGAUCAGCCACACUGGGACUGAGACACGGCCCAGACUCCUACGGGAGGCAGCAGUGGGGAAUCUUAGACAAUGGGGGCAACCCUGAUCUAGCCAUGCCGCGUGAGUGAUGAAGGCCUUAGGGUUGUAAAGCUCUUUCAGCUGGGAAGAUAAUGACGGUACCAGCAGAAGAAGCCCCGGCUAACUCCGUG
Molecule: ribosomal RNA, 432 nt
Filed under: uncultured bacterium
Lineage: Bacteria
Description: partial 16S ribosomal RNA
Rfam family: Bacterial small subunit ribosomal RNA
Source: RNAcentral